GUGAUCUGGCUCAAUUGAACGCGGCGGAUUCGCUUUACACAUGCAGUCGAACGGCAGCACCGGACUUCGGUCUGGUGGCGAGUGGCGAACGGGUGAGUACAUACAUCGGAACGUGCCCAGUCGUGGGGGAUAACGUAGCGAAAGCUACGCUAAUACCGCAUACGAUCUAAGGAUGAAACGCGGGGGAUCGCAAGACCUCGCGCGAUUGGAGCGGCCGAUGGACAGAUUAAGUAGUUGGUAGGGUAAAAGGCCUACCAAGCCGACGAUCUGUACCUGGUCUGACGAGGACGACCAGACCACACUGGGACUGAGACACGGCCCAGACUCCUACGGGAGGCACCAGUGGGGAAUUUUGGACAAUGGGCGAACACGCCUGAUCCAGCCAUUCCGCGUGCAGGAUGAAGUGCCCUCGGGUUGUAAACUGCUUUUGUACGGAACGAAAAGGUCCUGGUUAAUACCUGCGGGCUCAUGACGGUACCGUAAGAAUAAGCACCGGCUAACUACGUGCCAGCAGCCGCGGUAAUACGUAGGGUGCAAGCGUUAAUCGGAAUUACUGGGCGUAAAGCGUGCGCAGGCGGUGAUGUAAGACAGAGGUGAAAUCCCCGGGCUCAACCUGGGAACUCCCUUUGUGACUGCAUCGCUGGAAGUACGGCAGAGGGGGGAUGGAAU
This 669-nucleotide ribosomal RNA is filed under the name uncultured beta proteobacterium. Its description in RNAcentral is "bacterial SSU rRNA". It matches the Rfam family "Bacterial small subunit ribosomal RNA", at positions 13 to 667 of the family's 1533-position model. The record is from RNAcentral. Lineage: Bacteria; Pseudomonadati; Pseudomonadota; Betaproteobacteria.